Non-coding RNA from Aegilops tauschii subsp. strangulata, 3236 nucleotides. The record is from RefSeq and is a predicted model, not a curated record. Lineage: Eukaryota; Viridiplantae; Streptophyta; Magnoliopsida; Poales; Poaceae.
GUGUGCACCGGUCGCGAGCGUCGACCUCACGUUUGACUUCCGCCUGCGCUUCCCCAAGCUCCGGCGGCGGCUCAUGGACCUCGAUGAGGCCAGGCAAUGGACGGCUUCGUACUAGGUGAGGUGGCACGGUGCUGUGCGGGGUACCUCGUGAGGUCGGCAGCGACAAGGGAGAGCGCAUCCGCUUCCGCUCCAACAUCCUCGAGUUCAACUAGCCAAUGGCUUCGGAUUAUGAUGAUUGGGUGUCAUGGCCCCAUGCCACUUCUCUUAUAUUUUAUUGUUGGAUUGUGGGGUUUUUAUUUGUGGCUGAAAAAUACCACAAGAAAGAUUGGAGGUUUACAAUCUGUACCAAGCGUUUUCUCCACAUGGAUGAAUUGGGAUGGCAAGCUAAUAUGUUCUUAUUACUGGCUGCUUCAAAAUUACCAUUUUGUUUCACAAAAAUAUUUAUUAUAAAUCUCCAUGAGUCACAAGUAUCGUCUCAAUUUAACCCCUCUUCGUAUAUUAGAUAAUCCUUGCUGCUUUAUUUAAAAAUAUGCAUCUUUCUUGACCGUCUGUGUUGAUGUGCAGACCAAAAAAUUGUGCAUAUGAGGUGUUCGACAUAUGUCUGGGACGUAUUUGCCAUUAUGUAGUAUACUAAUGGUCUACAUGAUUUUAUUGAACUCCAUGCUCACUCACAUGUACAUAUAUGUAACCUAGAAGAGUAUGCGAUCUAUGUCAUGUAUGACCCAAAUAAUAGUUUUCAUUUGGUUCAUUUUUCAAUAAUUGCAAUUUAAUUGUAGACAUGUUCAAUUUUUUGCACUUGGACAUUUCAAGUUUUUGCACCUUAUAGUGGGAGCUUGACUGAAAAGUUAUUGUAAUAUAGUAUUAUACAUUAGAAAGGGAGUUCAAGUUGGCUAUUAGAGUUACACAGGAUAAUUCCAUGAUUUAGACGUGAAAUGCUACUGAUGGAAAAUAAUUGAACUUGUCUCAGAUUGAUAGUACAAGUGAUUAAAAUUUGUGUUGACACUUGCUUACAAAAAGUAUUCUGUGUUCAUGCCUAGAGAUAUUGACUGCAUGCCUGGCCUUCGGUGCCCUCCACCCGCUCAUCACGUAUCCGUUGCCUAUGAUGUGCACCUGCCAAUAGGCAAGCCUGCAGGUCCGGCGCCCACCACCUUUCUGUUGCUCUGCUUUCCUCAGCAUGUGUCCAUAGGCUGCUGCCCCCUCUUCUACCUUUUCGGUCCUCUGCUCUUCUUAUAAAUGAAGUUUAUUGUCGAGAGUUUUGCUGCACGAUAGCUAUGUACUAAAUAUGUUCUGUUUUAGUCUCUCUUUCCCUCUUGUUAAAAUUAUAAAUCAACACUGCAGCUAUAGCUUAACCAAUCAAAUUAAUAUGUCUUGUUUAGAGUUUAUGCAGUUAAAAAGCCCUUUGAUUCUUGCGUUAUUGCCUUAUAACAAAUAAUCAUUCUAGUUGUUGUUCAGAUAUUUUUUCUACAACUAUGCGUAGAUAUGUCCCUUCGUGCUUCCAUACAGGGAGCCUCCAGAAAUGACAGAAUAUGGGCUUUUUGUGGCUUCGCUGUUCUUGGUUGUUCAGAAAUGCAUGGCUCAAGUUUGCUCCGACUAGAAGAUGGCACUGGCAAAUGUCGAUGUGGCUAGGUGACAUUGUGUCAACUGAGUUUGAGUCAGCUAGCAUAAACAUUCUGCCCUCAAAUGCAAUUAUCUAGUGACACUUAAUUCCACGUUUUGUACCCUGGUGUGUUUGUCAGAUGUCUUUCUACUUUCAUUGCGUAUGUAAGAUAGUUGUGAGCUUGUAAAACUGAAUGUCAUAUCUGAUGUUUGGAUAGAUGAUUUUGUUGUUCGCCCCCCUCCCUGAAAGUAUAUGGUCUAAUUAAAUUAUCUACAUUUAACAUGAUAAGUUUUGGAAUAACAGUAAUGAAUAGAUGUGAUUAGUACACGUAACACAAUACAUUCUAGAAUAAGAGGUAAGAAUAGAUAACAUGCAUGCUACUUAGACUUCCAUGUGUAUUUUGUUAUUAUGAACCUGAUAUACAUAGUGCUUGUAUCUUGCAUUCUUUGCAUUGAGCAACAUAGGAUUUUAUAUCUUCUCUUGCAAAUUCAGAAUUGCAUCAUCUGUUCAAUAAUACACUUUAAUUUUCUCGAUAGUUAUGGUUAACACUGUGACAUGCAGUCUAAUUUGGAUAGCUAGUUCUUUUUCGUCAAGCUUACACUGUAGGCGCUAUGUUCAGUAGGUGCUAAACCUUCACAUUUAAAGAUUCUGAAUAUAUCUUCAUUUCUGUUCUUUGCUGUUUUACAAUAGAAAUAUUUACCGAUAUGGUAAAUACUUGUUUGUUUGAUUUUCAGAUCUAAUUAACAGCUUCAUGCUUGGCUGCUUGGCAUAUGUACUUCCGGUUAUAUUUUAGCAUGGCUGCAACAAGAACAUCCUCACUGAUUACGUUGACCAAUAAGAACAGGCCUAAAAUAUGUUGCUCUCUGCUAUUCUUCUAAUCCUUAUGUUUCAUAUAUCUGUCCUUGCGUUGAUCAAUCCAUGCGUGCUAAUUAUUGCUAGUUCAAAAUCAUUACCUAGAGAUAUCAUAAAUUAUUCCAAAUAGGCCCUUUGUGGUUUUUUCUUGGGUGUAUGAAUUGAAGCUAAAGAUGAAGUUGCAAUUAAUGGUCCUCCAUCUUGCUGUGAUUUCAACAUUAUCUCUUUUUUAUUUUGAUCCUUUAUUUUUCUGCAGUAAUGGUAGUCAUGGAAUAAGUGGCACUACUAAGUCACAGGAACUUGCUCUGCUUUGCAUUAACUUACAGGAUUCAUUUUUACUGUCUUUGCAUUAAUUUAUGCACAUCCUGAAUGUGUUUGGCUGCUAACUAUCCAUUUAAUUGAUUGGACGAAGAUAGUGGCAGGUGUUGAGCUUGGUUCUUAAUGUUGCGAAGUUAUGCAGAAGCAACCAUCAUAGCCGGUAGCAGUCCCCACGUCUAGAAGGUCACGGGUAUAAUUCUUUUCCAUCCACAAGUUUCAAGAGGUGUGUUUCGUGAGCUAAAAGGAUCUUCUGCUGUGAUCUGUUUCUAACAAAGACCAGAUAUUAUAUUUUGUGCUUUUGUCUAUGAUGCAAUACUAGACCUAUGAACCUACAAAUGUACGCCUAUAUGUGCAUGGGCUUUUUGUUGUUGUGUUGUAAUCUGGGCUUGUGAACCUACAUAUGCUUGUAGACAUGAUGGAUUAUUGAGAUACACAUAUAUGUUAUGUCUAAGUGAUGCAACUUUAAUUA